GCAAUUUUUACCGAAAAGGAUGUCAUCCCAGUGCUUGACUACUUGGAUCCAGAAAACUUAACUGUAAAUGAGCGCACUAGGCAAUUGUAUAACAAGAACUGGAUUCCAGUGUCAGCUACUUGCAUGACACUACCUGCUACGCAAACU
Molecule: non-coding RNA, 147 nt
Filed under: Wolbachia pipientis
Lineage: Bacteria; Pseudomonadati; Pseudomonadota; Alphaproteobacteria; Rickettsiales; Anaplasmataceae
Also listed under: 1 other name
Description: WsnRNA46
Rfam family: Wolbachia sRNA 46
Source: RNAcentral